GCGUAGCUGGAGCUUCAGAACCGUGCAUAACUGUGCCACUAUAUCCCUGUGGUCUGUUGAAGAAUGAAGAGGAAAACACUUGAACGUUAAAGAGAGAAGAAUCUCCCUGAAUUGAACAAAUGUGUCACUUUUGAAUAAGGAUUCAUGAAAAGGCAGAAAAGGAGAAGAAAAAAGAAUAAAGGAUUAAUGGUGUUGACUUCACUGUUGGACAAAUCUAUUGCAAGUGAAAAGGAG
This 234-nucleotide long non-coding RNA is filed under the name Apteryx owenii (little spotted kiwi). RNAcentral's name for it is "lncRNA (ENSAOWG00000009205.1)". Lineage: Eukaryota; Metazoa; Chordata; Aves; Apterygiformes; Apterygidae. The record is from RNAcentral.